This 27-nucleotide non-coding RNA is filed under the name Homo sapiens (human). The record is from RNAcentral. Lineage: Eukaryota; Metazoa; Chordata; Mammalia; Primates; Hominidae.
UGAGAGUGCUGAUGAUUUGCUUUGUGG